UCCGGGUUUCGCCCGGCAGUCUCCCUAGAACAUUCAACUAAGGACAGGGGUUGCGCUCGUUGCGGGACUUAACCCAACACCUCACGGCACGAGCUGACGACGGCCAUGCACCACCUGCGCAGAAGUCCCUUGCGGGAGGUUCUGGCUUUCGCCAAAAUUUCCUCUGCAUGUCAAACCCAGGUAAGGUGGGGAUGACGUUGACGUCAUAACC
Molecule: unclassified non-coding RNA, 211 nt
Filed under: uncultured Chloroflexota bacterium
Lineage: Bacteria; Bacillati; Chloroflexota
Description: uncultured Chloroflexi bacterium contains 16S-23S intergenic spacer region
Source: RNAcentral